This 423-nucleotide ribosomal RNA is filed under the name uncultured Glomeromycotina. Its description in RNAcentral is "SSU rRNA". It matches the Rfam family "Eukaryotic small subunit ribosomal RNA", at positions 671 to 1092 of the family's 1831-position model. The record is from RNAcentral. Lineage: Eukaryota; Fungi; Glomeromycota.
UGGUAUGUACUGGCUUUACUGAUUCCUCCUUCUUGAAGAACUGCAAUGUCAUUAAUUUGGUGUUGCAGGGAAACAGGACUGUUACUUUGAAAAAAUUAGAGUGUUUAAAGCAGGCUAACGCUUGAAUACAUUAGCAUGGAAUAAUGAAAUAGGACGUUUGAUCCUAUUUUGUUGGUUUCUAGGAUUGACGUAAUGAUUAAUAGGGAUAGUUGGGGGCAUUAGUAUUCAAUUGUCAGAGGUGAAAUUCUUGGAUUUAUUGAAGACUGACUACUGCGAAAGCAUUUGCCAAGGAUGUUUUCAUUAAUCAAGAACGAAAGUUAGGGGAUCGAAGACGAUCAGAUACCGUCGUAGUCUUAACCAUAAACUAUGCCGACUAGGGAUCGGAUGAUGUUAAUUUUUUAAUGACUCAUUCGGCGCCUUACG